RNAcentral lists this transfer RNA (57 nucleotides) under Platerodrilus palawanensis. RNAcentral's name for it is "partial tRNA-Ser". The record is from RNAcentral. Lineage: Eukaryota; Metazoa; Arthropoda; Insecta; Coleoptera; Lycidae.
AAGAAAUAAAAAAUAAAGUUUCUAACUUUUAAAAAGAGCUUAAUGUUCAUAUUUCUA